AACGAACGCUGGCGGCGUGCCUAACACAUGCAAGUCGAGCGCGAAAGUUCCUUCGGGAAUGAGUAGAGCGGCGGACGGGUGAGUAAUACGUGGGUAAUCUGCCCCCGAGCUCGGGAUAACAGUGCGAAAGCGCUGCUAAUACCGGAUAAGACCACAUGACAUAUGUUGUGCGGUAAAAGGUGGCUUUAUUUUCGGAUGAGGCUAUCACUUGAGGAUGAGCCCAUGGCCUAUCAGCUUGUUGGUGAGGUAAAAGCUCACCAAGGCGAUGACGGGUAGCUGGUCUAAGAGGACGACCAGCCACACUGGGACUGAGACACGGCCCAGACUCCUACGGGAGGCUG
Molecule: ribosomal RNA, 341 nt
Filed under: uncultured Pseudomonadota bacterium
Lineage: Bacteria; Pseudomonadati; Pseudomonadota
Description: bacterial SSU rRNA
Rfam family: Bacterial small subunit ribosomal RNA
Source: RNAcentral